GACGAACGCUGGCGGCGUGCUUAACACAUGCAAGUCGAGCGGUAAGGCCCUUUCGGGGGUACACGAGCGGCGAACGGGUGAGUAACACGUGGGUGACCUGCCCUCAGCUCUGAGAUAAGCCUGGGAAACUGGGUCUAAUACCGGAUAUGACUCCAUGACGCAUGUUGUGGGGUGGAAAGCCUUGUGCGGCUGAGGAUGGGCCCGCGGCCUAUCAGCUUGUUGGUGGGGGAUGGCCUACCAAGGCGACGACGGGUAGCCGGCCUGAGAGGGCGACCGGCCACACUGGGACUGAGACACGGCCCAGACUCCUACGGGAGGCAGCAGUGGGGAAUCUUGCGCAAUGGGCGAAAGCCUGACGCAGCGACGCCGCGUGAGGGAUGACGGCCUGG
Molecule: ribosomal RNA, 389 nt
Filed under: uncultured bacterium
Lineage: Bacteria
Description: bacterial SSU rRNA
Rfam family: Bacterial small subunit ribosomal RNA
Source: RNAcentral